GUCCAAAAACUUUCUGCCUUGGGCUAUAUGCCCAUAUUAUUUAUCAGCCAGAGGCACAAGGGCACAGGCAAGUUGAUGGCAGAUGUAGUCACGCAUCUGCCACCGACGCAAAAAACAACACACGUUUCUUAACCAGCAUGAAGAGGGCAUAUGACUUCAUAAUCAAACUGGAUGGUAAGAUAAGUUUUAUGUAUAGUUCAUUAGUGGUUGUCGUUGAUUUCUUUGACAAUGUGUACUGAAUUUAUAUUUUUGCUAACUUCACAACAGAUGUGCCCCAGCCCCAGCCCCAGCAAGACCAGCCCCUCCACCUAGACCAACCCCUACCCCAAGACCAGCCCCUGCCCCUAGACCAGCUAAUCCCACAAGACCAGCCCCCCAGACCAGCCUCUGCCCCUAGACCAGCCCCAGAAAGACCAGCCCCUGCCCCUAGACCAGCUAAUCCCACAAGACCAGCCCCUAGACCAGCCCCAGAAAGACCAGCCCCUGUCCCUAGACCAGCUAAUCCCACAAGACCAGCCUACCCCAACAGACCAGCAAAUUAUUAAACUUGAACUAUUUACGAUCGACUCACAGGCUCAGCAGCAUGUGGAGCCUCUACCACCCAGGAAAAAGACAAACCCCACUAUCCACCCCGGGCCUACCAUCCACCCCAGGCCAAGGCAAACGAGCCCCACCAUCCAUCCAACCUCAACUAAAGAAAAGACAAACCACAGGUAAAGGAGCCACACAAGCCCCACCCUCUACCCUGGCCAAAAAGAAGAAAACAAAAAGUUGCAAAUGCAGUCGACAGACAAUUUAUCCAUACGAUAAAAUAUUGGAAAGACGGAUGAAUGGGGGGAAGGCAGCAGAGGUCAAAGUGCACUGGCUACCUUGCUCUUCCUGUGGCAGAGUCUGGGAGGACACCUGGGAGCCGGCCAGCAAAUUCGCCUGAUGACCAAUACUGUUGUACUAUUUGUUUUGUAUAUAUUUGUCAAUAAUUAAAUUCACUAUUGUUACAUUUUAUGAUUUGUCUGUCAAUCAAUGACUGCACUGAAUAAUUAAUGUGUCAUGAC
Molecule: long non-coding RNA, 1052 nt
Organism: Cyprinus carpio carpio
Lineage: Eukaryota; Metazoa; Chordata; Actinopteri; Cypriniformes; Cyprinidae
Source: Ensembl